This 724-nucleotide long non-coding RNA is filed under the name Homo sapiens (human). Its description in RNAcentral is "non-protein coding LINC01333:10". The record is from RNAcentral. Lineage: Eukaryota; Metazoa; Chordata; Mammalia; Primates; Hominidae.
UGAGUUCAGCCUAUCAUUUGAGAUCCGAGUAUGAUUGGGGAAAUAUCCUGAAAUAGUCUAUGAUUUGAAGAAAUGGAUAGAUGGCUAGAAUAACAUGCUAGAUGGUAGUCAAGUUACUAACUGCAGAAUUGAUUUGAUAAAAUUCUCAUCGUGUCUCCUGACUUAGGAGAAAUAUUGGGUCUGAUGAAUGGGUAAAAUUCCCAGGUGAAAAGAAUUUGGUCUGUAAGAUUUGGCAGCACCCUGAGGUUUGCCAUAUCUGAUGGCCUGGCUUUAGUGGCAGCACCUAGUGAAGGCCCAGGUGUCCUUCUGACAACCUUUACCACCUACCGUUUUGUCCUUACUUAUGUUGAAUCACUACACACAGGCUGUUGAAUUCAGCUGUCUGUGGAGAAAUUAUACCAACCACAUGGUUAGACAGAAGGAAUACAAUAUAUUGCUUAAUUUGUAUCUGAAAGCUAAGCAACAUGGAAAAAAAUCAAGCAUGCUCAGUCACUUCCAUGAGGACAAACGAAGACACUUCAAGGAGGACAUUGACAUGGAUCUGCCAGCUUUCUAAGACUUUCCCCAGAUUCAAGUCCAGUCACAUCAAGUUGCCUUAUUAAAGGGUCUGCCCACUCAAAAGGAGAAAGUGCAAAAGAUGCUCAGCAAGGGUAGCAAACGCAGUCAGAUGAUACUUCCUGACAGCAUCCAAGAGCAAGUCUCACCACCACAUCUGUCAAUAAAA